This is a long non-coding RNA of Alligator mississippiensis (American alligator), 8726 nucleotides long. RefSeq lists it as uncharacterized. The transcript is spliced from 2 exons. The record is from RefSeq and is a predicted model, not a curated record. NCBI's taxonomy places the organism in Eukaryota, Metazoa, Chordata, Crocodylia, Alligatoridae.
AGAGCACUGGGAAUGGGGAAAAAAAAAAGAGGAAUGGUUUUAACAUAGAUCUACCUUGUUAUGUGUGUGCAUGUGAAAAAAAGCAAGCUUUCAGACUAAAUAUGAUGGGCCCAGAAUCGUGUUGCCAGUGGGGGCCAAGGGGGUACAACUGAUAAGCCAGAAGAGCCCAGAAGAAACAGCCUCAAUUUCUAGCAGGGACUGUGUGCUACUCUUCGGUGCAAGCCAGACAUGUCCAAAUAUCACACUCAAGACAGGAAUUGGUAUUCAGCAGGAAGACAACGUUUCGGGUGAGAUGUUUGGCUGGCGUAGCUUGGUGCCGCUCCAGUGAGUUCAAAGGAGAAAAGCUGAUUUCCAGGAACCGAGGAUGCAGUCCUGACAAGGGCCUAUCUUACUGCAGAAUCAUUAAAUGCUGUGCCAUGACGGUUAAUCAGAAUAAUAAUGUCGCUCGCACUUGUACACGACUUUGAAGGGGGCAAAACAGUGGAAAAACAAACCCGAACUUUACGUGAUUAAAGCUGUAUUUGGUUUCCCCUGCACCAAACAAGUGCGGACGGUUUGUUUUUCAUUAAAUAAAUACUGAGAAGCUCCCACUUAAGAUGCAUGCUUUGGGAAAACAACACAAAAGGUGGCGAGAAGGCAGAGCUGGAAGAAUCAAAGCAGAAAGCAAAUCAGCAGGUAGGUUGGCUGGACGCUUUCUAGUGAAGCGACUAAUUUCAACCUCUCUCUGCAGGUUCAUUGAACUUUUUCAAAUGUGACCACUUCUGGCAUGCUCACCCUGAGCAACCUCACUUUGAUUUCAGAUUAGUCUCCUCCAAAAGAUUUAGGAAUCCAAAGAGGUCUGGACAAGAAUUUAAUAUGACAGUUUCUUGUAGAACAAACCUCUUACUCAGCAGGACGCAGCGAGAGCCUCCAUUUCAAUUUCUUCAUUACAUGUUAUGCAAGUCAUUACAUGUUAUACCACAAACAUCCUGGUUUAAUCCUUCAGCGCAAACAUGCUAUUUCGGUGAUCUCGCUACAUAACCAUUCUCCUGUGCUUGGUUUUUUUUUUAAGAAGAGAAGGACUACGGGGCAGCGGAGACAUACAAAGCCUCACAAACCUGGAGACUCCUUUUUCCUUUUCAAGUCACUCUGUAUUUUUGCUAAGAACUAAAAUUCCAGCUCAAAUCCUCCUCCCCCCCAACACCAUUUGGAAAUAAGAGGAUUGUGGGGAGGAGGGGGGAUGAAGAUUGUAUAUGUAUGAGCUUCGUACAGACACUAGAUCUAACAUUUGAUCAGGCCCAACCCCAUCUGUUAAUAAUUUAAUUACAGUCCUGCCCAGCAGCCCCAAGCAUCGUUCAGACUCUGUUCCACUAGAUAUGCACAAACAAGGAGUCAGAGAAUCACUGCCCUGAAGAGCUGAUAAAAGAAACUACAGAGAGGCAACAAAGGAUAUAAGCCAAGGUCAGAAAUAUAGGCCUAGACAUUUUGUAGGCCACAGUUGUGUACUUAGGCACUCGUCUGGAUAGGGAUGAGCAGGAUUUAAGGGUUCAAUAUAGUGGGUCUGGGAGUUUGGGUUCAUAACUUCUAUUGAAAUAAAAGAGAGGGAAGUCCAUGGGAGGUAGGCACCUGCACGCCUUUGUGGGGCUGGCUUGACCUGACUUGCCCAAAAUCCUACAGGAAGUCCAUGGUGCUAAACCCAGAUCUCCCAGUCCUUGGUGCCCUACAGCAAGAAGGCCACCAAGAUGCAAACAGUGUAUGCAAGUCUAGGUCUAGACCUGGCCUCUAGCCCAGUCACUAUAACACGUUAACACCAAAAUCUUCUACUAUGACCUGUUAAAACCAAAACCUUAUACAUGCUCACUAUAAGACUAUAACAUGUUAACGCCAAAACCUUCUUCUACUAUGACAUGUUAACACCAAAACCUGAACACCCCUGGUUUUUGAGCAAGUUCAGAUUCAUGUUUCUCAAGCCUGCCCCUCACUUGGAAAAUGCACUGGUCAGAGUGGCCAGAAAGCUGCUCCUUUAUGCCUAAUGAUGACCACAGGAGCCUGACAAAGACCAUUGCACAGACUCCUUUCAUCCCAGAGGACCCUCAACUGCUUUACAAACUACAGACCCAACUUUGAAACAUGCACUCAGUUGGAGUGGUACCUGACCUGAACCUGCAGACUCCAAUGCGAUGCAGAAAUGCAACUGCCCCAGAGCAAGAAUGAAGGAUCAUACAACAAAUGGGCAUGGGGAAUGGAAAACCUGAGGUCAACACCAACCCUUGCUCUUGAAAAAAAAAGAGACUACAGAUGUUUACUGGCUGCAAAAAGUAGAGGUCUAGCACCUAAUAUUUAGGUUCUCACCCAAUGGACUCUCCACCUACAUCAACCUCUGUGUUGUGCAAUGUGUCUAUCUUGCAAGGCAACAGAAAGUAAGAAGAAAUCCAUAAUUUAUAGUGAAUUAAUAGGGAGUUGGGUCCUUCCAUGCAUCAGCUGCCCUGCAGUAACUGUUCAUGUGCCCACCAGCACCUUGCAGAGGCUUGCAUUCAAACACAGCCUCACGGCAGUCACUUUUUCCAAAACAAGGAGGGUUCGAAAUUAUUACAGUUUGGGGGUUUUUUUGCUGUAAUAAUUUCAGCAAAAAAAAAAAAAGUGUUUUUUUUUUGCCUGACUGCUUUUGCCAAAGUUUCAAAUGUCAACAGCAGGAAUGGAUCCACCACGAAAAUACCAUCUUCUUUUUUUAGCCGGCUGCAGAGCGCUUACAGCAAACUCAACGUUUUGAUGAAAACUCAGGAAUAACACUGCGCUGACACACAGCGCUGUUCUGAGGGUCUGAAAGCCUCCAGCAACUAUUGCAAGAACAGCGGUACAAGCAGGUAUGGUUGGUAUUUGCAUUCCCAUUUUACAGCCGGGUUAAACUGUGGCAGAGAAAGGAUCUGUGUCCCAUACUAGGGACAAGGUGCUUAGCGAGCUGAGGUUGUACAUGUAAUGCAGCAAUCUCUUCCUGCCGUAGGAUGCCAGUCCAAGAGAUAUGCUCUAACUAUUAGAUGGUACUUUUCUCCUUCUGAGAAAAACACAGAUGUGCAGGUAUAUUUGCACGUCCAAAGUUACUUGUUACAUUGGGCAAAUUUUGCUUAUGCUUGAAUAUAACACCUCAAGCUGAUAUCUGGCACUGAUUGUGUUUGCGGUCUUUUACAAAUAUAUAUAAAUUAAAAAUAGACAGCUGAGCAUAUGCAUAGGUGGAUCCAACACACAUAUCUGCUUUCACACACAUUCUGAAUCAUACGCUCUUCCAUGCAGGCAGACGUGACGGUAGGACGGAUAAUCAAAUGCCACCAAGGGUCUGAGACUGAAAAGCCUUUUCACAGAGCAUGCAUUAUACCUGCUUUUGAAUUCUUCUCCAGUAUUUCCAACCUUUACAGGGUGCACAGAUUUGAAGCAUAUGUGGGCUACCUGCAGAAAAUAAGCUGUACCUCUGAUUUAUGGAUGCUGCUCAGUGAGGUGAUACGCUCAGACUAAUCUUUCAUUUCUAACAGUGGAAGAACUUUGCAUUUCAUUAACAGGACUCUUCCCACAGCUUGAAACAAGGCCAUCUGCUUACAGGGUUUGUCAGCUAAAAUGCCACGGUGAGGUAAGCUUUGACCUUGUCUAUUUUAAAGCAUACGAAGUGGACAAAGAACACUUCUUCACGGGUUUUUGGUGGAAAACACUUCAAAGUAAUGGGGACAGGGGUAUAAUUUAGGCACUCGCACUUUGUGAAAUAACGGUUCGAUUCAAAGCUCACGGAUGUCAAUAGAAAGACUCCUACUGACUUAAAUAAUCUUUGGAUCCAGCCCCAGAGGUAGAGCCGACAUUCUCAUGCUAAUAGGGCCUGUUGAUCUUAAAGGACGGUUUUCCCAACCGAUCACGCCCAUCCUUCGCCCAAGCUGUGAGCUCACUCGACUGCAGUUGAAAAGUCCCCUCCAGAAACGCCCGUUUCCAAUCCUAGACAAACGUCAUAAUGAAAACGAUGCCUAAAUCCUAGGAGGACGCUCCCGUUGGUCCAAAGGGAGGGUGCAAAAUUUGUCACGUUGAUCUGCAACAUUUCAGGGUUCAAGCUACAUGGAAAGCUGCCCUCCGUGUGGGAAAGUGCACAACACAGAAAGUUAGCGUGAGCCACAGCAACUGGUUUGCAGAUGCAGCUUCCAUGGACAUGAGAUGCAAACACAGGGUUUUAAGGGCCAACUACUGAUUGGAGCUGUACCAGUGCAAAAUGAAAUCACUCCCAUGAAAUGAGCAGGAAGCAAGUCAAAAUUUGGCAGUAUUGGCCAUUCUAAGGUAAAAAAAAAAAAGUCUUAGAUGCUUGCCUAAAUGAAGCAUGAACCUUUCUUGCAAGCCUUUUACUCCCUGACACCAACCACAUGCUGCAAAAAUCCUUCCUGUCUGUACACCUGCAAAGGGGCUUGUGAGUAGCAAACAGUCCCGCUCCACUACCAUCAGGCUGAGUCGGCUGUCAGAUCAGGAGCGUAACCUGGAUCUUAUCCGUGGCAGCACAGAAAUGAAACUACGUGGCUGCUUCUCUCUCAAAUCCCUGUGGAGGCUGAUUUCUAGUUUAACUUUCCCCUUUCUGCAUCUCUGACUCAAGCAGAUUGUGGCAAUGUUUGGGGUGGAAAAAAAUAAGCACAGAGGAACAGUGUUGUAAUAAAGAAGCUAUGUCCACUACAUUAAAAAUCAUGAAAUAAUACUACCAGCACCAUGCCUAGUGCUUGGCACAUAGAAUAAAAACACAGUGACGUCCCUAAAAAGCUCAGAAUCAAUUCUUUUGGGCUUAGAUUUAAUUUAAUUGUAUUUAUGAUGAAUUACAUUAAGGUGUCCAGAGCCUUCAAUAGGCAUCUUUUAAGUUGCUUUUUUUUAAAAAAAAAAUCUGAAUUGAAUAUACUUAAGCAAAACUAAAAACACUUCCUUAUUAUGCAGGUCCAUGCAACUGUAACUCAGAUUGCAAAGCAAGCACCUUCUGCAAUGCAAUAUCCUAUUCUAUUGUUGUUGGACUGGCAUUUUCAUUUCCACAGAAAUUUGCUUUCCGUUUCAGAGUUCAAGCAUUAGGAAGAUAAUCUUCAUUUACCAAGUAUGCGUGAAUUGUGCCGGCUUAUUUCUUACAUACGGCCUUUCCUAUUCAUAGACUCUGGAAGAGAAGAGGCAACUUCUUUAUUAAGGUUCCUCUAAAAGGGGAAGACUGCAGCAGAUCCCAGGACUUCCGAUGGGGAAGUCCUUUUAGGUUACUCAAGGUUUAUACAAGAGGCAAGAAUUUCUUUGGGUGCUACCUUUUAUUGGACCAACUGCAUUAGUUGGCAUAGAGUUAAACAAGCUUUUCAAUGCAAAAGACACAAAAAUUAGAAUCACUUAUGGGCUUAAGAGCCUGCAAGUAGGUUUAUGCAUGUUAUCAAGAGCUGGCCAUUUGAACUUAUAGUUUCCAUAUCCUUCACCCUACCUGCAUACAACCAGCUAACUUCAGUGCAGAAUAGCUAAAUACCACCAGAAAUACAGUUAAUUCUACAUAGAAACAUGAUGUCAAAGAAAGCUGCUCGGGCUGCUUUUUACAGACACCGUGCAAAAGUCUGGCAGUUUGGGAGGUAUCAGAUAUAAUGAAAGCAAGCUGCAAUGAUCACCAAAGGGAUGCCCAAAGAUAACGGUAAUCAGAUCUCUCAGGAAAGGAGGGAAAAGACCCAGACGAAAAAGAUCCUUAUCAGACUCUGCCAGGAGCAACUUUUCAGAAGAAAUUAAAAACAAUCCCUGCAGGUUUAAAUUCCCACCCUUCUUGGAUGAUAUUAAUUGCAAGCAUCCGCGUCCCCUUUCCAAGAAUCGUCGCUGAAAAGCGUGCAGUGAAACAAAAGGGGAAAAUUCACAAGCUUUACGUUUCUUCGUUAUGUUCUUGCCUCUGCUAGAUAAAACACUCCCGAUUUUCAGGUGGCCGUCUCCACUCCAACUGCUGCCAGACCGUGGCGGGCAGUUGCAUUUAACUACCCCCAUUAGUGCAGCCAAACUGAGCCACUUGCAAUGAGAUGCGCUGGAAACCUGGUCCAGGAUUUGCUGCGUUCAGCAUUAAGUGUCACACAACGAUAAGAAUCAAUUCUGCCCAGCUGGACACAGAUUGAAAAUCUUAAUAGUUAUUGAAAUCUUUUUUUCAAUAUACAGUCUCCACAAACAUGCAGUGCUCAAGGGUUUUGUGGACCUCAAUUUGGCCAGGUAUUGUAGCACGUGCCUGACUUCAAGCAUCUGAGCAAUUCCAUUGAAUAGUCACCUGCUUAAAAGGUAGGCACAUGCUUGAUUAGAUGCAUUAUUAUUCAUAUAAAACUAUCCCACAUUUGUGGCACUGGUGGUGUUCCUGUUACAUCUUCUGCAGCCAGUGUCAGAGGCGGGUAGCGGACCAGACGAUAUGCAAGGUAUUUACAUGUGAAAUGGAGAGAGUUAUCUUUAUCCUACGGAGACAGCAAAUGAAGCAGUGGUAGAGACAAAAAUUCCCAUUUAUUCCGGGGCACCAGAGUUUAGACAAGGCUUUUAAACCGUACUUUACUUCCCACGGGCCAGUGACUCUCAACCAGGGUGCUGAAGCACCUGCCUGGCCACUGCCCUGUCCCCUGUGCAAGGAUCUGAGCCCUGCAAUAAAGAAACUAGUGUCUGGAAUGGGGUGCCGCUCAAUUCACACCAGUGAUGGGGAGUGUCUCGAGUCAAACCAUGGGUGCUAUGAAUCUAAUAAGGUUGCGACCGCUGCCAUCGACACUGUACGAGAAAUGGGAGGAAUGAAAAAUGAAUAGGUAUGAAGGGGGGGUUGUAUUGCAAAUGAAAGACACUGCACAUGCCAGAUGCUAAAAAACCUUUAUUCCUUUUAUUUGUCUAGCAGAUAUGCUGAAAAGCACAGCAGACCAACUUGUCUCCCUGCUGCAUUUGAUUGGCUUCCUUGAGUAUGAAUGCGGGCAGCUUUUGCUUGCAUAUCUAGAAGGCGAGCUACUCUAAUCCCCUAUCAUCAAAAUAAUUUGAUGUCUUUGGUUUUCUAGCCAGCGGAUAGUAGUUUAACCAUGCAACCCAUUCCUCUCCGUCCCCAACCCCAAUCUAUGCAUCAGGAGUAGAGGCAGGAGGAGCAGGCUGUAAGGUUUCUAUGCUGUUUUCAAUGGGACCUUUCGUUGCAAUUUCAAAGGUUGAUGAAAAAAAACCUGCCGCCAUGAAAAUAUCACCUACAUUUUUGCAACAAGGCCCUUCACAUGUCUCAAUUGACCCAUUUUUCAAGCAAAAAAAAAAAAAAUCAUCAUUAAUUUCAGUUGGGGAAUCUGACGCAGCAGGGCUUAUGCCUCUAACGACAGGCACCUGCAACCCAAACUAGUGAACACCGGGGAAAAAUGUGGCCUGGGCAAAUAUCAUUCAGUUAGCCACAAAAUUCUCCAUUGGGCUUUGGAUCGAGACUCAAAUAUACAUAUCCAAGGGCGGUCGUUCUCAAUAUGCUGUCGUACAGGACAAAGCUAGCCUAUCUUUCUCCUUACAGCACCCGUAUAACAUUUGUAACCUGCCAUAUUUCCUUGCAGAAGUUCUCCUGGUUCGUUUUCAAAGGGUGCCCUGGGUUCAGUAGCUAUUGCUGUCUGUGGCAACCUGCUCCCCAUGCUGUUAUGCUCUGUAUAAUGUUCUGUAUAAUGACACACCGGGUAUCGAAGCCAACCAGGCUGCAUAGGCAGGACUGUGCUGCCGUAACCAGAUGCUGUGUAAAUUGGUACGAUGGGGCCCGAAGGAGUCUGUGCUUACGGGAGCUUAAAGAAGAAGUAAUGAACAUGCUUUAAGAAGGCUUCAGUUCGAGUAGCUCUAACUAACCCUUUGCUUUCUUUAUUAGGAGAAACCACUUGUAUUGUAGAGGUCCCAUUCAAGAAGGUGGCUUCGUGGAUCUAGCCACUAUGCAAACACACUGGGGGGGAAAAAAAGACCAGUUGUCCCAAACAGCCCGCAUCCUAAAUAGGCGAGCUGGUAGAGGAUGGGUGCUAACAAACUCCCCUCCCCGUUACAGAGGAAGAACCAAGGCACAAGAGACUGACUGCAUAGUCCAGAGUUAUAGAGGGAGCCCCACUCCCUCCUCUACAUGAAAAGACGCUGUUGAUCAAACCCCUUCCAAAGCCCGGCGUAUGGUCCUUUGUAUGGAGCAAAUUAUGAUGCAUGCAGCAAACCCACUGGCCUUAUCUCCAAGUUAGUACAAAAUGCCAUGAAUAAGCCUUAAGUGGCUUUGCAGUGAGAUGUGCCGCCCUGUUGCAUUACCAACAGAACUGAAGAGUCAAUACAUAAAUUAUAAAUAUGGUGAACCUCCCUUACAAUAACACAUGUCCGUUUGUAGAGAAAACAGGAACGUCUUGCCCUUGCUGCCAGUACUUAAGCAAGGAGCAAACGGCUAUUAUUGCAGUCUAGGGUAUAAAUUGGCGACACGGGCAAACAGGUUGCAAAGAUCCCAGCCCUGUGAUCCGACCUGAAGACACGCAUCUUGUACCUCAUCCUUAGAAAAAUCUAUUUCCAUGUUCCUGUUCUCAACGGGUUUUUUUGCAAUCUAGCACACGUUUAAAUUACUGUCUGGGUAAUCAGCAUUUGGGGAGACAAAUGGUCCCUGGUAGACAAGUGACAGCCGCUGCUGCUUUAUUCAUUUUUUUUUCCUCCUGCAGAGUGGAAUGAGGAUUAACUCGUUAUGAAAUCAGACUCCAUAUGUAUCCACAGAUGAGCCAGCCACUGCAGCAAAUAAAACUGAAGGCAGUACCUAC